GACGAACGCUGGCGGCGUGCCUAAUACAUGCAAGUAGAGCGCUGAAGGAGGAGCUUGCUUCUCUGGAUGAGUUGCGAACGGGUGAGUAACGCGUAGGUAACCUGCCUGGUAGCGGGGGAUAACUAUUGGAAACGAUAGCUAAUACCGCAUAAUAGCAGUUGUUGCAUGACAACUGUUUGAAAGGUGCAAUUGCACCACUACCAGAUGGACCUGCGUUGUAUUAGCUAGUUGGUGGGGUAACGGCUCACCAAGGCGACGAUACAUAGCCGACCUGAGAGGGUGAUCGGCCACACUGGGACUGAGACACGGCCCAGACUCCUACGGGAGGCAGCAGUAGGGAAUCUUCGGCAAUGGACGGAAGUCUGACCGAGCAACGCCGCGUGAGGGAAGAAGGUUUUCGGAUCGGAAAGCUCUGUUGUAAGAGAAGAACGAGUGUGAGAGUGGAAAGUUCACACUGCGACGGUAUCUUACCAGAAAGGGACGGCUAACUACGUG
Molecule: ribosomal RNA, 495 nt
Filed under: uncultured bacterium
Lineage: Bacteria
Description: partial 16S ribosomal RNA
Rfam family: Bacterial small subunit ribosomal RNA
Source: RNAcentral